This 403-nucleotide ribosomal RNA is filed under the name Verrucomicrobiota bacterium. Its description in RNAcentral is "Verrucomicrobia bacterium partial 16S ribosomal RNA". It matches the Rfam family "Bacterial small subunit ribosomal RNA", at positions 355 to 776 of the family's 1533-position model. The record is from RNAcentral. Lineage: Bacteria; Pseudomonadati; Verrucomicrobiota.
UGAGGAAUAUUGCACAAUGGGGGAAACCCUGAUGCAGCGACGCCGCGUGAGCGAUGAAGGCUUUCGAGUCGUAAAGCUCUGUCCUAUGGGAAGAUAAUGACGGUACCAUAGAAGAAAGCCCCGGCUAAUUACGUGCCAGCAGCCGCGGUAAUACGUAAGGGGCGAGCGUUGUCCGGAAUUAUUGGGCGUAAAGAGUGCGUAGGCGGCAAAUUAAGUCAGAUGUGAAAACUAAGGGCUCAACCCAUAGAUUGCAUCUGAAACUGAUAUGCUUGAGUCAAGGAGAGGAAAGUGGAAUUCCUAGUGUAGCGGUGGAAUGCGUAGAUAUUAGGAGGAAUACCGGUGGCGAAGGCGACUUCUGGACUUGAACUGACGCUGAGGCACGAAAGCGUGGGGAGCAAACAGG